This 468-nucleotide ribosomal RNA is filed under the name uncultured bacterium. Its description in RNAcentral is "partial 16S ribosomal RNA". It matches the Rfam family "Bacterial small subunit ribosomal RNA", at positions 28 to 507 of the family's 1533-position model. The record is from RNAcentral.
GAUGAACGCUGGCGGCGUGCUUAACACAUGCAAGUCGAACGGAAAGGCCCAGGUUUUGUGGGGUUCUCGAGUGGCGAACGGGUGAGUAACACGUGUGUGACCUGCCCUUGACUUUGGGAUAACACCAGGAAACUGGGGCUAAUACCGGAUAGGAGCUCCUGCUGCAUGGUGGGGGGUGGAGAGUUUCGGCGUGUGAGGAGCGCCUCGCGGCUCAUCAUCUUGUUGGGGGGGUGGUGUCUCACCACGGCUUCGCGGGGCCGCCGUCCUGAGAGGGUGACCGGCCACAUUGGGCCUGAGGGACGGCCCAGACGCGUACGGGGGGCAGCGGUGGGAAGUAUUGCACAAUGGGGGGAGGCGUGGUGCGGGAGCGCCGGGUGCGGAAUGACGGCUUUCGGGUGGUAAACCGCUUUCGCCUGUAACGAGGCGUGAGUGACGGUAAUGGGUGAAGAAGCACCGGCUAACUACGUG